This is a long non-coding RNA of Bos indicus x Bos taurus (hybrid cattle), 1456 nucleotides long. The record is from Ensembl. Lineage: Eukaryota; Metazoa; Chordata; Mammalia; Artiodactyla; Bovidae.
AUCUCACUCUAUCCUUUCACUGAAAACCCUGCCUUCUUUUCCUUCUCUUUUUAUAGAUAUGGAAACAGAGGUUCAGAGAAGUUAGGCCGCUGGCUCGAGGUUCCUCAGCUAAUACGUGGCAGAGUGGGGUCCUGCCAUGGCCUCUGGCUCUUUCCACUGAGCUGCACUGCCGCUUGGUUGGCCACCCUUUGGAAAGCAGCGCUGGAGAUUUUCCAUCUUGAUGGUGAAAUGUGCCUUAUAAAGAAGCUGUUGGCCCAGGGGGAAGAAGGGAAUGGCAUCUUGAUGAAAGGACUACUCAUAAAGAGCUCCCUCCUAGAAAGGCCAGUGGAACAAUCUGGGGACAAUUACACGAGCACCAGUAGCUGCUGGGCAAAAUUACCUGGAUUUGAAUACAUGAAGCCACUCUCUCCUUGCCUCCCUUGUUCCAACCCGUCGAAACACCUGAUGAGGCUCUAGAAACCAAGUUUUAGGAGGGAUGUCUGAAGGAGGAUGAGAUGUUCCAACUGGAGAAGAGAAGAUGCCAGAAAGAACCACCAUCAUGCUCUUCAGCCUACUGGUAGGUGGUAUGUGUGUGUGGAAGGGUAAUCAGAUUUGAGGUGACUCAAGAGGUAGGACUAAGACCCAUGGGUGAGAGCUGGAGGAGGACAGGUUCCAGGUCAGAAUAAGGAAGUUAGCAGCUGCACUAGUUAGGAGCUGAGCCAUCGUGCAAGCCACUGACACUGGAGGAAGCUUCUCUCUUGUUUACAUUAUCAUUGUCUUCAUCAUCUGUAUCACCAUCAUCAUUUACUGAGCACUUAGAGGUGCCAGGCCCUCAAAUAAGCACUUCAUUCACGUGAUCUCAGCAUCCCUUCUACUUACUGUUACCUGCUCUUCUCUCUCUAUCCCCUAAACCCUCUGGCUUGUAGUUUGGGGGAGAUGUUUGGAGCUUGAAACAAGGAAUUUGGAUAAGGCUGGAGAGUCUGGGUGGUCCAGGUAGGGAGGUACCUACAGAACUGCAGGGCUUAGGAAGCAAAGUAUUUGCCUAAUGCAAAAGUAAAUGUGCCCUUCUGUACCUGAUAGCCAGGCCUUGUUCUUAGUGAAGGGGGCAGAUAAAUGUGCUUGCUUACUUUGGCUCAGCCUUCCCUGCACCCACUUUUUAAAUGGUAUUUAUUUGGCUGCACUGGGUCUUCGUCUCAGCGUUUAGGAUCUUAGUUGUGACAUGUGAGACCUUAUUCCCUGACCAGGGAUGGAACCUGAGCCCCUGCAUUUGGAGCAUGGAGUCUUAGCCACUGGACCACCAAGAAAGUCCCAGCCUUCCCCUUUUGAUUCCCUUAGCCGCACAUGUCAUGAGAUAUAACAUCAUCACUCUCCUUUCAGCCUCGUCCCCACCAACCUACAUGGAAAGCAGCACAGAGAAAUGAGUUAUGUGUAAUGAGAUUUUACAUAUAAUUUUAAGAUUUUGGUUUCCCCUUCCAGG